ACGGAAGGCAGCAGUGGGGAAUAUUGCACAAUGAGCGAAAGCCUGAUGCAGCGACGCCGCGUGAGUGAAGAAGUAUCUCGGUAUGUAAAGCUCUAUCAGCAGGGAAGAAAAUGACGGUACCUGACUAAGAAGCCCCGGCUAACUACGUGCCAGCAGCCGCGGUAAUACGUAGGGGGCAAGCGUUAUCCGGAUUUACUGGGUGUAAAGGGAGCGUAGACGGUUUGGCAAGUCUGAAGUGAAAUGCGGGGGCUCAACUCCUGAACUGCUUUGGAAACUGUCGAACUAGAGUGCAGGAGAGGUAAGUGGAAUUCCUAGUGUAGCGGUGAAAUGCGUAGAUAUUAGGAGGAACACCAGUGGCGAAGGCGGCUUACUGGACUGUAACUGACGUUGAGGCUCGAAAGCGUGGGGAGCAAACAGGAUUAGAUACCCUGGUA
RNAcentral lists this ribosomal RNA (434 nucleotides) under uncultured Lachnospiraceae bacterium. RNAcentral describes it as "partial 16S ribosomal RNA". It matches the Rfam family "Bacterial small subunit ribosomal RNA", at positions 341 to 792 of the family's 1533-position model. The record is from RNAcentral. Lineage: Bacteria; Bacillati; Bacillota; Clostridia; Lachnospirales; Lachnospiraceae.